Long non-coding RNA from Triticum aestivum (bread wheat), 2269 nucleotides. RefSeq lists it as uncharacterized. NCBI's taxonomy places the organism in Eukaryota, Viridiplantae, Streptophyta, Magnoliopsida, Poales, Poaceae. The transcript has 14 exons. The record is from RefSeq and is a predicted model, not a curated record.
CCUGCAGGCCCGCACUCGUGCCGCGCCCCUCUCCUCUCCCUGCUGCCUCGCCUCUCUCCCUCCCUCCAAACCCUAGACUUGCCCGCGCCUCCCUGCCCCGCCGCCGUCCAGUUCCAACCCCUGCCUCAUCGAGCGGCUCAUGGCGGUGCCGGAUCCGGUGUCGAGGUCGAGGCGCGCUUCCCGUGCGUGGGGAGAGGCACCCAGACCUAGUCCAAGACUCGCACCACGGCAUGCUCGCCGCCGUCCUCGUCAGGGUCGCCGGCAAGGCGCCAUGGUGGCUGCUUGUUCCCCUGCUGCCUCUCUCAUGUUGCCGCCGCCCCCAUCUGAGCUCGAGCUAUAGAGGCGUGCCGCUAGGUCCCCUCUUUCUUCCAGUCUUUUCGCCGGAUCUACUGAUGCACUCGUCGAUCUCUAGAUUGGUCCUCUGUGGCUCAAUCCCCUAGUCAAUGCCUCCUUCGAUCUAUGGCUGCUCGUCUCUGGUUACUGAUCUGCAGGUAUAUAUGUACUUCCCAUUCCAUCGGCUUCGGUUGGCAUGUUACCUGAGGGUCGUGCUUCCCAUUACAGGUCGACGAGACGGCAGAUUCGGUUAGUGAGAAGAUCGUCCAAAAGAACAUCGUCGAGAAAGACGAGCUGACGCAAAGAGGUCUGAACCAUAUGUUCCUGUUAUUGCCCCAGUGAGUGCGGCAAGAAAGGCAGGAAGAAGUAAUCCCUUCUGUUAGGACAAACUCGAUAUUCUGGUGGCGUAAAACUUUUGCAGACGGUUAAUGUAGAUAGAUGGUCUUUUAUCAAAAUGCCUGUACUAGCGAUUCCCCUGCUUAUGCUCCGGCUCCCAGGCACUUACCGCCAAAUCACUUGGUUGCUUCUGGGCGACGAUGGUUGCUAUCAAGACCAUCUCGCUUUCCAUCCGGACUAUCGGGCUCUGUAGAUAGAGACUGGCAUUUAGUCAGGUAAAGUUAUACUUGGAUUCCUUUCCGUUCAUUUAUUCGAGUUCUCAUAUUUCUGUAAACUAAUUUCUGCCCGUUCCUACUGUUCCUUGACUUGGCGGAAGGAGGUGAUACAAGUUCAUCCAAUGAUGUGCAACAUCCUUUGGAGUGCUUUGGGCCCUCGCGUUCAGUUUCAUGGAGGUAUCGGUGUGCAGAGGGUCACGAAGACUUUGUUGCCUCGCCUAUUUUGCAUGUACUUGUGUAGACAAGCUGAACCUGCUGAUGACUUUAUUGCCUUGCCUAUUUAGCAUGUACUUGGUGGAUAUCGAUGACUUUUAUCAAUUUGUGGCUCGGCGCGUACCAUUGUAUCAAAUCAUGGACCCUCGCAUGAUCUGCAACAUCCUUUGGAGUGCUUUGGGCUCUUGCAUCUGCUCGUGGUCAGGGGCGCAAUGUACGUGGAGGUGUUCAAUAGAGGGGUCAUUCUGCCGCCCUGCAACAUCAGGAAGAGGAACAGUAGGAACGGGCUGCCCUUCACCUAUUACGACGGCAUCUACCUGAACUCAUGCCUUUGAAGAUGUAUAGCGGUGCGCAGACGGAUUGAUCUUCCUGUUCGUACUCGUAGAUUGCAUAUCUGAACUUGGCAAAGAAUGGACCACAUGCUUCUCUAGCCUCAGAAGCAUGUUCAUAUGAAGCAAAUACAAGGCAUGCAGUGCUUUACGAUUUGAGAUGCCGCCCCUCCGGCCUGCCGCCGACGGCACACUGCUCUUCCAGCCGCCCCUGAGCCCACGCGACUCGCUGGAUCAUGCCCGCCCCUGAGCAGUGCGCAGCUCGCCGGACUGAUUCGUGCCACCCACGCCAACCUGAGAUCCGCCUCUGCAGGACGUGAUGGCUAGAUCACCGCGAGCCCCUACCCCGACCCCAAGGUCGGCGGCAGCGUCAAUCCCGACGGCCAGGUCACCGUCACCCCCAACCUCGACGCCCAGGUCAGCAGAAGGUGUGGAUGGAAGAGUGAGAAUAACUACAGGUUGGUCAAAGAUUGAAAGAAAUCGCUUAUGUGUCUUCGGCUUCGACACUGUGCAUAGGAAGUCGUCGCUGAUAAUCCAAAAUUUGAAAAGGUUCAUGUGUUGUGGCAUAUGAAAGGUUGGAAGUCAAGACGAACAGGUGGAUCUGUCCAAAAAAUAUGCUUCUGUGGAACUACAUAGUUUUUUUGUUCUUGCGUUGCCACUGUGGCUUGAUUUUGCUGCAUGAAAAGUACAUUGUCUGUAUCAAAUGGAUUGAUGGACCGGUCUUUCGCUUUUGUAAAGUAUAUAUUUCCAUUCCCCAUGAACUUCCCACGUGGUUUCUUUGCA